Molecule: ribosomal RNA, 450 nt
Filed under: uncultured bacterium
Lineage: Bacteria
Description: partial 16S ribosomal RNA
Rfam family: Bacterial small subunit ribosomal RNA
Source: RNAcentral
GUGGGGAAUUUUGGACAAUGGGCGCAAGCCUGAUCCAGCAAUGCCGCGUGCAGGAAGAAGGCCUUCGGGUUGUAAACUGCUUUUGUACGGAACGAAACGGUCCUGGUUAAUACCUGGGGCUAAUGACGGUACCGUAAGAAUAAGCACCGGCUAACUACGUGCCAGCAGCCGCGGUAAUACGUAGGGUGCGAGCGUUAAUCGGAAUUACUGGGCGUAAAGCGUGCGCAGGCGGUGCUGUAAGACAGGCGUGAAAUCCCCGGGCUCAACCUGGGAAUUGCGCUUGUGACUGCAGUGCUGAAGUACGGCAGAGGGGGAUGGAAUUCCGCGUGUAGCAGUGAAAUGCGUAGAUAUGCGGAGGAACACCGAUGGCGAAGGCAGUCCCCUGGGCCUGUACUGACGCUCAUGCACGAAAGCGUGGGGAGCAAACAGGAUUAGAUACCCGGGUAGUCC